RNAcentral lists this ribosomal RNA (506 nucleotides) under uncultured bacterium. RNAcentral's name for it is "bacterial SSU rRNA". It matches the Rfam family "Bacterial small subunit ribosomal RNA", at positions 21 to 518 of the family's 1533-position model. The record is from RNAcentral.
GGUUCAAGAUGAACGCUAGCUACAGGCUUAACACAUGCAAGUCGAGGGGCAGCAUUUGAAAGCUUGCUUCAAAGAUGGCGACCGGCGCACGGGUGAGUAACGCGUAUCCAACCUUCCCCUUAGUAGGGCAUAGCCCGGCGAAAGUCGGAUUAAUACCCUAUGUUUUCCGUUGAGGACAUCUGAAGUGGAACAAAGAUUUAUCGCUAAGGGAUGGGGAUGCGUCUGAUUAGGUAGUCGGCGGGGUAACGCCCACCGAGCCAACGAUCAGUAGGGGUUCUGAGAGGAAGGUCCCCCACAUUGGUACUGAGACACGGACCAAACUCCUACGGGAGGCAGCAGUGAGGAAUAUUGGUCAAUGGGCGUGAGCCUGAACCAGCCAAGUAGCGUGCAGGAAUGACGGCCCUAUGGGUUGUAAACUGCUUUUGCAGGGGAAUAAAGUGAGGCACGUGUGCCUUUUUGUAUGUACCCUGAGAAUAAGGACCGGCUAAUUCCGUGCCAGCAGCAGC